UUAGGAUCCAAGCGUUAUCCGGAUUUACUGGGGGGCGUAAAGCGCGUGCAGGGUGGGUUUGGGUAAGUUGGAUGUUAAAUCUCCCGGCUCAACCGGGAGCUGUCAUUCAAAACUAUCAAACUAGAGGACGGUAGAGGAAGGUGGAAUUCCAGGUGUAGUGGUGAAAUGCGUAGAUAUCUGGAGGAACACCGGUGGCGAAGGCGGCCUUCUGGCCCGCUCCUGACACUAAGACGCGAAAGCUAGGGUAGCGAACGGGAUUAGACACCCCGGUAGUCCUAGCCGUAAACGAUGUGAACUUGGUGUUGGUUGGGUAAAACCAAUCAGUGCCGAAGCUAACGCGAUAAGUUCACCGCCUGGGGACUACGGCCGCAAGGUUA
RNAcentral lists this ribosomal RNA (377 nucleotides) under uncultured organism. RNAcentral describes it as "partial 16S ribosomal RNA". It matches the Rfam family "Bacterial small subunit ribosomal RNA", at positions 527 to 896 of the family's 1533-position model. The record is from RNAcentral.